RNAcentral lists this small RNA (30 nucleotides) under Arabidopsis thaliana (thale cress). RNAcentral's name for it is "ATSL229770". The record is from RNAcentral. Lineage: Eukaryota; Viridiplantae; Streptophyta; Magnoliopsida; Brassicales; Brassicaceae.
ACAAUGGGGAUGUAGCUCAGAUGGUAGAGC